GGCUGGUCCAAGUACAGUAGUGUUUACAACUAUGUGAUCACAACCAGUUACAGAUUUCUUUGUUCCUUCUCCAUCCCCACUGCUUUACUUUACUAGCCAAAA
Molecule: unclassified non-coding RNA, 102 nt
Organism: Nomascus leucogenys (northern white-cheeked gibbon)
Lineage: Eukaryota; Metazoa; Chordata; Mammalia; Primates; Hylobatidae
Rfam family: Y RNA
About the family: Y RNAs are components of the Ro ribonucleoprotein particle (Ro RNP), in association with Ro60 and La proteins. The Y RNAs and Ro60 and La proteins are well conserved, but the function of the Ro RNP is not known. In humans the RNA component can be one of four small RNAs -- hY1, hY3, hY4 and hY5.
Source: Ensembl